GACGUAGGGGGCGAGCGUUGUCCGGAUUUAUUGGGCGUAAAGCGUGCGUAGGCGGCUGCGCAAGUCGGUUGUGAAACCCCGGGGCUCAACCCCGGAACUGCAUCCGAUACUGCGUGGCUAGAGGUAGGUAGGGGAGAUCGGAAUUCCUGGUGUAGCGGUGAAAUGCGCAGAUAUCAGGAGGAACACCGGUGGCGAAGACGGAUCUCUGGGCCUUACCUGACGCUCAGGCACGAAAGCUAGGGGAGCGAACAGG
This 253-nucleotide ribosomal RNA is filed under the name uncultured bacterium. Its description in RNAcentral is "partial 16S ribosomal RNA". It matches the Rfam family "Bacterial small subunit ribosomal RNA", at positions 524 to 776 of the family's 1533-position model. The record is from RNAcentral.